Long non-coding RNA from Gasterosteus aculeatus aculeatus (three-spined stickleback), 382 nucleotides. Lineage: Eukaryota; Metazoa; Chordata; Actinopteri; Perciformes; Gasterosteidae. The record is from Ensembl.
CUAAUGCUAAAUUCAACUAGCUCAUGUGUUUCAUUCUGUUUGGCAGUUAUGAUGCCACGAGGUUCCUUCUGAGGACGUUAACUUAUGUGUGUUCGCCAGGUGUCUUAACGUCACACAAUAAACGGCCGAUCCGAGCCGAAUGUGGUCCGUGCCCUGGUGGUGAUUUUAACAACACAACGCAAGAAAGAGUACAACCGCUACAUAAACAGCACCUAACAGGACACCCUGACCUUAGCACUUUGCUGGAGACUGGUGGUGCUGGUGGCCCUUUUUGUUUGCCGUGUCCUGGGAAGCGGGAUUCUCUCCCCCCCCCCUUACACCUAGCCUUGUCCAUCCACUCGGCUCCAACCCUCUUAUUGAUUUUUCGUUUUAAAUAAAGCUG